Molecule: ribosomal RNA, 253 nt
Filed under: uncultured bacterium
Lineage: Bacteria
Description: partial 16S ribosomal RNA
Rfam family: Bacterial small subunit ribosomal RNA
Source: RNAcentral
UACGUAGGGUGCAAGCGUUAAUCGGAAUUACUGGGCGUAAAGCGUGCGCAGGCGGCUUUGCAAGACAGAUGUGAAAUCCCCGGGCUCAACCUGGGAACUGCAUUUGUGACUGCAUGGCUAGAGUACGGUAGAGGGGGAUGGAAUUCCGCGUGUAGCAGUGAAAUGCGUAGAUAUGCGGAGGAACACCGAUGGCGAAGGCGGCAUCCUGGACCGGCAUUGACGCUGAGGAGCGAAAGCCAGGGGAGCAAACGGG